Molecule: non-coding RNA, 234 nt
Organism: Pelobates cultripes (western spadefoot toad)
Lineage: Eukaryota; Metazoa; Chordata; Amphibia; Anura; Pelobatidae
Source: the annotation of a GenBank genome assembly
UCUAGAGAAGGUCCAGGAAGAGAUUUCUCGAAUAAUUGGAUUAGCCAAUCCCAGUUACAAUCAUCGUGCAGAUAUGCCAUACACCAAUGCAGUGGUACAUGAAAUACAGAGGUUUGCUGAUGUGGUUCCAUUGAACGUUCCUCAUGAAACCACAAAAGAUGUCAUAUUUAAAGGAUAUUUUAUUCCUAAAGUAAGUUUAUUUAACAUAUAUUGUAUUCAGAUUUUACUAAAUUG